RNAcentral lists this ribosomal RNA (641 nucleotides) under Mucor hiemalis f. corticola. RNAcentral's name for it is "partial 28S ribosomal RNA". It matches the Rfam family "Eukaryotic large subunit ribosomal RNA", at positions 53 to 614 of the family's 3401-position model. The record is from RNAcentral. Lineage: Eukaryota; Fungi; Mucoromycota; Mucoromycetes; Mucorales; Mucoraceae.
GAGGAAAAGAAAAUAACAAUGAUUUCCCUAGUAACGGCGAGUGAAGAGGAAAGAGCUCAAAGUUGGAACCUGUUUGGCUUAGCUAAACCGGAUUGUAAACUGUAGAAGUGUUUUCCAGACACGCCUGGUAAAAAAGUCCUUUGGAACAGGGCAUCAUAGAGGGUGAGAAUCCCGUCAUUGGCCAGAGCUGUUGUCUUUUGUGAUACAUUUUCAAAGAGUCAGGUUGUUUGGGAAUGCAGCCUAAAUUGGGUGGUAAAUCUCACCUAAAGCUAAAUAUUUGCGAGAGACCGAUAGCGAACAAGUACCGUGAGGGAAAGAUGAAAAGAACUUUGAAAAGAGAGUUAAACAGUAUGUGAAAUUGUUAAAAGGGAACCGUUUGGAGCCAGACUGGCUUAACUGUAAUCAAUCUAGGCUUUGGCCUGGAUGCACUUGCGGUUUAUGCCGGCCAACGACAGUUUUGUUUGAGGGAAAAAAUUACAUUGAAUGUGGCCCUUCGGGGUGUUAUAGCUUUGUAAAAAAUACCUUGGACUGGACUGAGGAACGCAGUGAAUGCCUUUAGGCAAGAUUGCUGGGUGCUUUCGCUAAUAAAUGCUAGAAUUUCUGCUUCGGGUGGUGCUAGUGUUUAAAGGAGGAACUCGCUU